GGAAACUGAAAAGAAAAGUGGAAGGAAAAGGACUGGACUAGCAAGCAAGUAGAAACUCUACACGCAGGAAUGCUUAUCCCUUUCAGAACUAGUGCUUCUUGUUUUUCCUUUUUGCUCUGCUAAAAGUAAAGCUAAGGCUCAGCAUCCUCGAAACAUCUCAGCUAAAAUUGUUUGAAAAAGCUGGCGAAUAUUUAGAAAUUUAGAUGCAGCUUUUCGUAUAUAAAUAUAUGAUCGUCUUGUGCGCAUAAUCACAAUAUAUAUCCCUUCCCUUCACUUCUAAAGAAGCCUUCUUCCCGCCAAGAGCCAUAUUUAUAAUUAAGGUAUGCAAGCAAUUUCUCUUUUCUUGUUUGCUCAAUGGAUGCGAAAUUUAUUUGCCUAUAUAUUAUAUUUCUCAUGAGUAGAUAAAUUAUUUUAUUAAUAAUAUUUAGAAAAAAUUUAGCAUGGGAUCCAACUUUAAGAUGUAUGCCUAUUUAGAUAAGUGAUUAAAAACGAGCUUUAAGUUUUUAAUUUUUAAUUUGAAGUAUUUAGUAAAUAUAACGGUUCAAGCAAUAUUUCACAGUUUAAUAUAAUUCUACACACAUUAUAGAUAAAAUGCUAAUUAAAAUAAAAAUUGGAAAAGCUUUCUAUAUAUCUGUUAAUUGUUUGUUGCCAGAAACGACUCAACAAACUCCAAAACGGACCUUUCCACAGGCAUACUACUUUAAACUGAAUCAAAUUUUCCUGUCGAAUUACUGUUGAAAAUAUUCAUAUAGUAAGGAGGUUUGCAAAGACCAAGUGAUAUAUAGAGGAGUUGAAGCAAAAUGGAAGAAGCAUGCAAGCACGUAGAGAUUGAAUCGGCUGCUGAAAUAGGAAUAAAACUUUUUGUUGCCAGAAGCGACUUUAACAAACUCCAUAAUGGACCUUUUCGUAGGCUUACUUCUGCAAAAUCAAAUCAAAUUUGCCUGUUG
Molecule: unclassified non-coding RNA, 947 nt
Filed under: Hevea brasiliensis (rubber tree)
Lineage: Eukaryota; Viridiplantae; Streptophyta; Magnoliopsida; Malpighiales; Euphorbiaceae
Source: RNAcentral